RNAcentral lists this transfer RNA (72 nucleotides) under Ovis aries (sheep). It matches the Rfam family "tRNA". From Rfam's summary of the family: Transfer RNA (tRNA) molecules are approximately 80 nucleotides in length. Their secondary structure includes four short double-helical elements and three loops (D, anti-codon, and T loops). Further hydrogen bonds mediate the characteristic L-shaped molecular structure. tRNAs have two regions of fundamental functional importance: the anti-codon, which is responsible for specific mRNA codon recognition, and the 3' end, to which the tRNAs corresponding amino acid is attached (by aminoacyl-tRNA synthetases). tRNAs cope with the degeneracy of the genetic code in two manners: having more than one tRNA (with a specific anti-codon) for a particular amino acid; and 'wobble' base-pairing, i.e. permitting non-standard base-pairing at the 3rd anti-codon position. Lineage: Eukaryota; Metazoa; Chordata; Mammalia; Artiodactyla; Bovidae. The record is from Rfam by way of RNAcentral.
UCCUUGGUGGUCCAGUGUUAGCACUCUGUACUCUCACUGCUGAGGUCCUGGGUUCAAUUCCUGGUCAGGGAA